This 253-nucleotide ribosomal RNA is filed under the name uncultured bacterium. RNAcentral's name for it is "partial 16S ribosomal RNA". It matches the Rfam family "Bacterial small subunit ribosomal RNA", at positions 524 to 776 of the family's 1533-position model. The record is from RNAcentral.
UACGUAGGGGGCGAGCGUUGUCCGGAAUCAUUGGGCGUAAAGCGCGUGUAGGCGGCUUGCCAAGUCCGAUGUGAAAUCUCGGGGCUUAACCCCGAAACUGCAUUGGAAACUGGCUUGCUAGAGUCCGGAAGAGGAGAAUGGAAUUCCUGGUGUAGCGGUGAAAUGCGCAGAUAUCAGGAAGAACACCGGUGGCGAAGGCGGUUCUCUGGGACGGUACUGACGCUGAGACGCGAAAGCGUGGGGAGCAAACAGG